CAGAGUCUCCUCUACAGCCUGCCAGUAAACUGGACAGGAGAGUCAGCUGGAGAGUAUCGGGUAACCCCACAGGGUCACCACUGCAGGAAUGCCAUCUCAAGGAGAAUAGAUAUUCCAGGAUCCAGAGGGUGCAGGAGCAGCACAAAGACUUGUCAGAGGGAUGACCUGAGGUCCAAAGUGGGUCUCAGCCUCCCUCCUUCUUCAGUGCCAUCACUAGGCCUAUUUACCCGGACCUGUUCUCACUUCAGUCUUCUGCUGUCACAGUGCUUGAUUUGAGGAGAACGUGCUGAGUGUCAGCGAGAGCCACCCAGUCAUGCGCUCUCAGAACAGAGUCCACAGUGACCCUGAGGUGAUGGAAGAAGAUACUUCAGCUCAUAGCCCAGCUGCUUAUUCCUGAGCAUGGGCAACUCCAGAUGCUCUGCAGUGAAGAUUUGGUCACGGUCCUGACAUCCGGAGUACCUGGGAUAUCGGAGUGAAGAAAAGAACCCUACUUGACCGACUUCGUAUGUAUGAGGAUCUGAUGACCUAAUAACACGUCCUUCCUCUAGACCAGGAAGUGCUUUAUCUGAGGCCUAGUUCGGGGGUGAACCUCCCGAGCAGGCAUGUUAGUAAUAAAUGAGCAAACAAAUAAACAAGUUCCACUCUUGUCC
Heterocephalus glaber (naked mole-rat) is the source of this 650-nucleotide long non-coding RNA. RefSeq lists it as uncharacterized. The record is from RefSeq and is a predicted model, not a curated record. Lineage: Eukaryota; Metazoa; Chordata; Mammalia; Rodentia; Bathyergidae.